RNAcentral lists this ribosomal RNA (481 nucleotides) under uncultured bacterium. RNAcentral's name for it is "partial 16S ribosomal RNA". It matches the Rfam family "Bacterial small subunit ribosomal RNA", at positions 28 to 506 of the family's 1533-position model. The record is from RNAcentral.
GACGAACGCUGGCGGCGCGCUUAACACAUGCAAGUCGAGCGAUGAAAUCUUAACAGAACCCUUCGGGGUGAAGAUAAGACGGAUUAGCGGCGGACGGGUGAGUAACACGUGAGUAACCUGCCUUUUACACAGGGAUAGCCUCAGGAAACCGGGAUUAAAACCUGAUGAAACUAUCAAAUCACAUGAUUAAGAAAGUUAAAACUCCGGUGGUAAAAGAUGGACUCGCGUCCCAUUAGCUAGUUGGUGAAGGUAACGGCCCACCAAGGCAACGAUGGGUAGCCGGCCUGAGGGGGUGAACGGCAACAUUGAAAGAGGAAAACGGCCCAAACCCCUAGGGGAGGGAGCAGGGGGGAAUAUGACACAAGGGGGGAAACCCUAAGGCCGGCGCGCCGGGGGAGGGAAGAAGGCCUUGGGGUCGAAAAGCCUUUUUAAGUGGGAAGAAAAGGACGGUACCAAAAAAAAAAGCCCCGCCUAACUACGG